CAAUAGCGUAUACUAAAGUUGUUGCAGUUAAAAAGCUCGUAGUUGAAUUUCUGGUCGUGAAACGUGGUCCGUUCCGCAAGGAAUGUGUACUGUCGAUUCAUGUCCAUCCUCGGAGUUAGUGUGUAUUACUUUAAUCGGUCGUGCACAUGUCCUCCGUCAUUUACUGUGAGCAAAAUAGAGUGUUCAAAGCAGGCUUAUGCCGUUGAAUAUAUUAGCAUGGAAUAAUAAGAUAUGACUUUGGUCUAUUUUGUUGGUUUGCACUCCAAAGUAAUGAUUAAUAGGGAUAGUUGGGGGUGGCUAGUAUUGGCCGGCCAGAGGUGAAAUUCUUGGAUUCGGUCAAGACUAACUUAUGCGAAAGCAUUCACCAAGGAUGUCUUCUUUAAUUCAAGAACGAAAGUUAGGGGGAGUCGAAGAUGAUCAGAUACCAU
This 428-nucleotide ribosomal RNA is filed under the name uncultured eukaryote. RNAcentral's name for it is "bacterial SSU rRNA". It matches the Rfam family "Eukaryotic small subunit ribosomal RNA", at positions 592 to 1018 of the family's 1831-position model. The record is from RNAcentral.